GUGAGGAAUAUUGGUCAAUGGGCGAGAGCCUGAACCAGCCAAAUCGCGUGAAGGAUGAAGGUAUUAUGUAUUGUAAACUUCUUUUAUCGGGGAAUAAAGUGCGGGACGUGUCCCGUUUUGUAUGUACCCGAAGAAUAAGGAUCGGCUAACUCCGUGCCAGCAGCCGCGGUAAUACGGAGGAUCCAAGCGUUAUCCGGAUUUAUUGGGUUUAAAGGGUGCGUAGGCGGACUGUCAAGUCAGCGGUGAAAGUCAAUGGCUCAACAAUGGAAUUGCCGUUGAAACUGUCGGUCUUGAGUGUAGAUGAGGUAGGCGGAAUUCGUAGUGUAGCGGUGAAAUGCUUAGAUAUUACGAAGAACUCCAAUUGCGUAGGCAGCUUACCAGGCUACAACUGACGCUGAGGCACGAAGGUGCGGGGAUCAAACAGGAUUAGAAACCCUGGUAGUCC
Molecule: ribosomal RNA, 445 nt
Filed under: uncultured bacterium
Lineage: Bacteria
Description: partial 16S ribosomal RNA
Rfam family: Bacterial small subunit ribosomal RNA
Source: RNAcentral